Non-coding RNA from Cucumis sativus (cucumber), 99 nucleotides. Lineage: Eukaryota; Viridiplantae; Streptophyta; Magnoliopsida; Cucurbitales; Cucurbitaceae. The record is from Rfam.
UGAUGUGCUGUGACGAGGCAAUUUUUGUGGACUAGAGUUUCUGAUCCGGGUACAAUUCCUGGGAUCUGAUUAUAUACCCUUGGCUGUCUGAGCACUCUU